GAGAUCUGAGGGGAGUCCUGAGGGGAGCCCUGAGGGGAGCCGUGAGGGGAGCCCUGAGGGGAGUCCUGAGGGGGCCCCGGCACUCCCGGGAAUGUUCCCACUGGAUCGAAAGGCUCCUUCCUGCGGCUAGAACCCCCCAGAGGACACCCGGACACACAAAUCCCACACAAAUCCCCUCCUGCCUCAGGGAACAGGGGAGGGAGGAUGUUGGGGAAGGAUGUUUGGGAUAAAAGUGGGAUUGGAACCUCCCAAAAUCCUCCCAGAUCCGUGAAAUCCCGCACAAAUUUUUAGGGUCAGAAGGGACCUUAAACUCAUCCUAUUCCUGCUUUUUUUUGUGCUGUUUUUCCCCAGGGAAUCCUUGGAAUUCAGUUCCAGGGAAUUUCCCUCCGACAAAAAAUCCGCCUUUUCCCUGGUUUUCGGUUCCUCCGGGAGGUUCCCGCCUGGAAAAAUCAGCGUGUGGAGGCUCAGGGACAAAAGCACAUCCAGGAAUCCGUCGGCCAAAUCCUCGGGAUUGUCCCACCCGAUUCCCGACUCCGCAGAUCCCAAAGAAUGUUCUGCCGGGAAUAACAAACCAAAGGCUCUUCCUGGGGCAGGAUGGAGGAGGCGGGAGCUGCUCCAAACCUCGGCCUGCCCAGGGAUUCAUGGAAGUGUUGGGAAAGGCCCCCGGGAUCAUCCGGAGCAGCCGCUCCAAGGCCACCGAGGAACCACAUCCACAGGAAAACAUUCCAGAGGGAACGUGGCGGAUGAUCCUUAAUGGAGCUCCAGGCACUUCUGAACAUUCCCUUUAAUUUCCCGGUGAUUGGGUUUAAUUUCCCGGGAAUGGGGGGCCUGGGAAAACCGGGAAUGGCUCCAGGUAAUGAAGGUCGUUCAUCAUCCGGGGGAGGGAGGAGGAGGAGCGGGAAAGGUUUGGGAUGAGGCGGAAAAAG
Long non-coding RNA from Lepidothrix coronata (blue-crowned manakin), 926 nucleotides. RefSeq lists it as uncharacterized. The transcript is spliced from 4 exons. Lineage: Eukaryota; Metazoa; Chordata; Aves; Passeriformes; Pipridae. The record is from RefSeq and is a predicted model, not a curated record.